RNAcentral lists this transfer RNA (69 nucleotides) under Rattus norvegicus (Norway rat). It matches the Rfam family "tRNA". From Rfam's summary of the family: Transfer RNA (tRNA) molecules are approximately 80 nucleotides in length. Their secondary structure includes four short double-helical elements and three loops (D, anti-codon, and T loops). Lineage: Eukaryota; Metazoa; Chordata; Mammalia; Rodentia; Muridae. The record is from Rfam by way of RNAcentral.
GGGGAUUUAGCUCAGUGGUAGAGCGUUUGCCUAGCAAGUGCAAGACCCUGGGUUCGGUCCCCAGCUCCG